Molecule: ribosomal RNA, 254 nt
Filed under: uncultured bacterium
Lineage: Bacteria
Description: partial 16S ribosomal RNA
Rfam family: Bacterial small subunit ribosomal RNA
Source: RNAcentral
UACGUAGGGGGCAAGCGUUGUCCGGAUUCAUUGGGCGUAAAGAGCGUGUAGGCGGCCAGGUAGGUCGGUUGUGAAAACUGGAGGCUCAACCUUCAGAGGUCGACCGAAACCAUCUGGCUAGAGUCCGGGAGAGGAGAGUGGAAUUCCUGGUGUAGCGGUGAAAUGCGCAGAUAUCAGGAAGAACACCCGUGGCGAAGGCGGUUCUCUGGGACGGUACUGACGCUGAGACGCGAAAGCGUGGGGGAGCGAACAGG